UGAGGAAUAUUGCACAAUGGGCGAAAGCCUGAUGCAGCGACGCCGCGUGGGUGAAGAAGGUCUUCGGAUCGUAAAGCCCUUUUCUGCGUGACGAGGAAGGACGGUAGCGCAGGAAUAAGUCUCGGCUAACUACGUGCCAGCAGCCGCGGUAAAACGUAGGAGACAAACGUUAUCCGGAGUUACUGGGCGUAAAGGGCGUGCAGGCGGUUUCUUAAGUUCGUCGUGAAAUCGCCCGGCUUAACCGGGCGGGGUCGAUGGAUACUGGGGAACUAGAGGGCGGUAGAGGCGUGUGGAAUUCCGGGUGUAGUGGUGAAAUGCGUAGAUAUCCGGAGGAACACCAGUGGCGAAGGCGACACGCUGGGCCGUACCUGACGCUAAGACGCGACAGCAUGGGGAGCGAACGGG
Molecule: ribosomal RNA, 405 nt
Filed under: uncultured bacterium
Lineage: Bacteria
Description: bacterial SSU rRNA
Rfam family: Bacterial small subunit ribosomal RNA
Source: RNAcentral